Molecule: unclassified non-coding RNA, 240 nt
Filed under: soil metagenome
Description: partial contains 5.8S ribosomal RNA, internal transcribed spacer 2, and large subunit ribosomal RNA
Source: RNAcentral
AACCAUUCUCACCUGCGGCUAGACCUGCGGAGGGAUCAUUACCGAGUGAGGGCCCUCCGGGUCCAACCUCCCACCCGUGUUUAACGAACCUUGUUGCUUCGGCGGGCCCGCCUCACGGCCGCCGGGGGGCACCCCGCCCCCGGGCCCGCGCCCGCCGAAGACACCUGUGAACGCUGUCUGAAGUUGCAGUCUGAGACACUAGCUCAAUCAGUUAAAACUUUCAACAAUGGAUCUCAGAUC